GGGGAAUUUUCCGCAAUGGGGGCAACCCUGACGGAGCAAGACCGCGUGCGGGAAGAAGGUCUGUGGAUUGUAAACCGCUUUUGACAGGGAAGAACACAAUGACGGUACCUGUCGAAUCAGCCUCGGCUAACUCCGUGCCAGCAGCCGCGGUAAUACGGAGGAGGCAAGCGUUAUCCGGAAUUAUUGGGCGUAAAGCGUCCGCAGGUGGCUCUGUAAGUCUGCUGUCAAAGGAUGGAGCUUAACUCCAUAAAGGCAGUGGAAACUACCGAGCUAGAGUGCGGUAGGGGCAAGGGGAAUUCCCAGUGUAGCGGUGAAAUGCGUAGAUAUUGGGAAGAACACCGGUGGCGAAAGCGCCUUGCUGGGUCUGCACUGGCACUGAGGGACGAAAGCUAGGGGAGCGAAAGGGAUUAGAUACCCCAGUAGUC
RNAcentral lists this ribosomal RNA (425 nucleotides) under uncultured cyanobacterium. Its description in RNAcentral is "bacterial SSU rRNA". It matches the Rfam family "Bacterial small subunit ribosomal RNA", at positions 356 to 795 of the family's 1533-position model. The record is from RNAcentral. Lineage: Bacteria; Bacillati; Cyanobacteriota.